UUGAGCCGUAUGCCGGGAAACUGGCACGUACGGUUCUUAGGGGAGGAUGCGGCGGCAACGCCGUGUCCUUACCCGAC
This is a non-coding RNA of Burkholderia sp., 77 nucleotides long. The record is from Rfam. NCBI's taxonomy places the organism in Bacteria, Pseudomonadati, Pseudomonadota, Betaproteobacteria, Burkholderiales, Burkholderiaceae.